RNAcentral lists this ribosomal RNA (442 nucleotides) under uncultured bacterium. RNAcentral's name for it is "partial 16S ribosomal RNA". It matches the Rfam family "Bacterial small subunit ribosomal RNA", at positions 338 to 795 of the family's 1533-position model. The record is from RNAcentral.
CCUACGGGAGUCAGCAGUGGGGAAUAUUGGGCAAUGGGCGCAAGCCUGACCCAGCAACGCCGCGUGAAGGAAGAAGGCUUUCGGGUUGUAAACUUCUUUUGUCAGGGAAGAGUAGAAGACGGUACCUGACGAAUAAGACACGGCUAACUACGUGCCAGCAGCCGCGGUAAUACGUAGGUGGCAAGCGUUGUCCGGAUUUACGGGGUGUAAAGGGCGUGUAGCCGGGUUGACAAGUCAGAUGUGAAAUCCUGCGGCUUAACCGCAGAACUGCAUUUGAAACUGUUGAUCUUGAGUACUGGAGAGGCAGAUGGAAUUCCUAGUGUAGCGGUGAAAUGCGUAGAUAUUAGGAGGAACACCAGUGGCGAAGGCGGUCUGCUGGACAGCAACUGACGGUGAGGCGCGAAAGCGUGGGGAGCAAACAGGAUUAGAUACCCCUGUAGUC